UGCGGAACUGCUGGCCCCUUAUACCGGCGAUGUGGCUGCUGAGGGGAUUGGCAAAGCACUGCGUAACGGUGCGUUUCUGAUACGCCACGGCUUUGAGCGCCAGCAGAACUAUGUGGCAGAAGUGCUUACCGAAGAGUGGCGCCUGGCGCCUGGGGCACUGGAAGUGGCCUGGUUUGCGGAAGAAACCGCCGCAGUAGAACGCGCAGUGGACGCAUUCAGCAAACGCCUGGAUAAACUGGAGGGCAAAUGA
This 250-nucleotide small RNA is filed under the name Phytobacter diazotrophicus. Its description in RNAcentral is "Erse small RNA". It matches the Rfam family "Erse small RNA". Lineage: Bacteria; Pseudomonadati; Pseudomonadota; Gammaproteobacteria; Enterobacterales; Enterobacteriaceae. The record is from RNAcentral.